CUAGGAAAACCGAAAACUGUUCUAGACAGACCUGCGGUUUUAUAGCAGUUUUGGCAGUCAACUUCAGCUUGUGCCUGAGCAGACGGGGCUGUGGUGGCCCGCCAGCGGGGGACUCCAGGCCACCUCCCCCAGCGGCACGCAGCCCCUCUCUUUAAUUAGACCGGUUUUCCCCUGGUGCCAGGGACAGUGGUCCCCGCAGAGAGG
RNAcentral lists this long non-coding RNA (204 nucleotides) under Saimiri boliviensis boliviensis (Bolivian squirrel monkey). RNAcentral describes it as "HOXA11 antisense RNA 1 conserved region 5 (ENSSBOG00000010708.1)". It matches the Rfam family "HOXA11 antisense RNA 1 conserved region 5". Lineage: Eukaryota; Metazoa; Chordata; Mammalia; Primates; Cebidae. The record is from RNAcentral.